AACACAGGUCCCUGUACAUGUGAGGCAAAGGCUCUACCCCAGGGCUGCAUCUCCAGGCUUUGUUUGAACACAUAAUUGUUUCCCCUCUUAAUUAUUAAUAUUUCUAUUAAUGGACUUGCCAAGCAUAUACAAAAGUAGAGUGACUAGCAUAACAAACUGCCAAAUAUUCGUCUCCCUGCACUACCCACAGUCUCUGUUAAUAGCUCUUAUCCUGAAGUGGAUUUAGUUUGGCAUCAAUGAAGUCGUUCCAGUUUCCUUAAGAACAGCUUUGGCUUGCUAUUGCCACUGCGUCCUGAACUGCCACAACCUAGAGGCACUGUGCACUGCUACUGAUCUGCACUUUCAACAGCUGGUUAUCUUUAAAGGAAACGUUGUAAAGUGUUUUCUGAGUAUUUGGACAAACAUCAGAAGAGAGUGUUGGGUUCCCUGGAACAGCUGUGAACCGCCUCGUGGGUGCUAGGAACUGAACCAGGAUUUUCUGCAGUUGUAUCGAGUGCUUUUACCUGGCGGCAGAGAUUGUGUUCCGAGUUCGCCCUCAUCAUAAAGCUGUGGUUUUGUUAAACAGCACAGGAAUGAGAAUGGCACAGGGAAGCAGGACGUUCCGGAUACAACUUCUGGAAGACAAGCUAUGCAAGGCCUCCUGGUGAUGGCAUUGGCUGAGCAUUGGCUGAGCAAGGCAGAGCGGGUGAUGGUGCCCACCUGGCUGUGUGUGCCUCGGUAAUGAGCUGUCAUGUGUGACAACGUACGGUUCUUAGGUGAUCAAGUGUGCAGGAGGAGGCGCGUGCCCCGGCAGAUGACAGCUGCCAACUCGAGGACAGACUGACAGAAGCACAAAAGAAGCAACCUUUUCCUAUACUUAAAACUAUUUUUAACUAAAAGAGCAUCUCAUUACGAAGAUGCUACAUGUGUAUGAAGCGAAAAUCAUUUUCUAUUCCCCCCAACUCGCCCCCCAGCCCCAGGCUUCAUAGAUGCCCACUGGAAUCAUCACAGUACACAAUCUUCAAGACGGUAU
Mus musculus (house mouse) is the source of this 1012-nucleotide long non-coding RNA. RefSeq annotates it as predicted gene, 40784. The transcript is spliced from 4 exons. NCBI's taxonomy places the organism in Eukaryota, Metazoa, Chordata, Mammalia, Rodentia, Muridae. The record is from RefSeq and is a predicted model, not a curated record.